Molecule: non-coding RNA, 28 nt
Filed under: Callithrix jacchus (white-tufted-ear marmoset)
Lineage: Eukaryota; Metazoa; Chordata; Mammalia; Primates; Cebidae
Also listed under: 1 other name
Source: RNAcentral
UGCCUGCGUAUGUAAUGGUGGCUGAUGG